AAAUUAAAAAAAUUUUUUUUAAUUUAACUUUGUUUUUGCAAAACACUGUUUUCUUUAAACUAUUUUAA
Molecule: transfer RNA, 68 nt
Filed under: Psephenothrips eriobotryae
Lineage: Eukaryota; Metazoa; Arthropoda; Insecta; Thysanoptera; Phlaeothripidae
Description: tRNA-Cys
Source: RNAcentral